UACGGGGGGGGCAAGCGUUGUUCGGAAUUACUGGGCGUAAAGGGCUCGUAGGCGGCCAACUAAGUCGGAUGUGAAAUCCCCAGGCUCAACUUGGGAACUGCAUCCGAUACUGGUUGGCUUGAAUCCGGGAGAGGGAUGUGGAAUUCCAGGUGUAGCGGUGAAAUGCGUAGAUAUCUGGAGGAACACCGGUGGCGAAGGCGGCAUCCUGGACCGGUAUUGACGCUGAGGAGCGAAAGCCAGGGGAGCAAACGGG
RNAcentral lists this ribosomal RNA (253 nucleotides) under uncultured bacterium. RNAcentral describes it as "partial 16S ribosomal RNA". It matches the Rfam family "Bacterial small subunit ribosomal RNA", at positions 524 to 776 of the family's 1533-position model. The record is from RNAcentral.